RNAcentral lists this unclassified non-coding RNA (391 nucleotides) under Hevea brasiliensis (rubber tree). Lineage: Eukaryota; Viridiplantae; Streptophyta; Magnoliopsida; Malpighiales; Euphorbiaceae. The record is from RNAcentral.
AAAAAAAAAAAAAAAAAACUAAACCAUAGUUUAAGAUACUAAUAUAUAUAUUGAAACUUGACUAAUAGUUUAGUGUCUCAAACAUGGUUUCAAUUUGCGGUUGCGGUUGCGGUUGCGGCUGCGGUUGCAGUCGUUGCUGCUGCUGAAACGGUUGAGGGAAUAGCUGCUGUUGCUGUUGCGGGAAAAGGGAGCUGCUUUGUUGGAAGGGCUGCGGCUGAGACUGAAACAGUGACUGUGGUUGCUGCUGUGGAGUUGAAAAUGGAGAAAAAGACAUCUGCGAUUCUGAUUCAAAAUUUUUGUUUUAAGUCUUGCCUUGUUAUUUGGUGUGCUUCUUCUAUGAUUGUGUUAGAUUUGGGGGUUCUAUAAAUUCAAAAACCCUGUUUAAAACCCU